UGCGAACAUUGGCACAAUCUUGUAAUUUCUGUAAUUGUUUACGAGAUUCUUUGAUACGCGAUCGCCUGGUCAUAGGAAUCAACGAUAAUGCAACUCAAAAAAAGCUAUUGCAAGAUCGAAAACUCACCUUGACAAAAGCCAUCGACAUCUGUCGCAGUAGCGAGACCACGAAGAAACAAGUCAAGAAAAUCCAGGCGAACAGCGAAGCAAAUGAGGGCGAAAUCAACGCCAUUGUAAACAACAAAACCGAAACCGGAAGCACAGGAACCGGAAGCACAGGAACCGGAAGCACAGGAACCGGAAGACGCGAUGACAGGCGUAUCGGACUUGAUAGGCGUGACGGGGGGCGUGACAACAAAAUUAAAUGCAAAUAUUGUGGAACAGUGCACCAACGAAAAAAGGAAUUAUGUCCUGCAUUUGGAAGCCGCUGCCGGAAUUGUGGUCGCGAAAAUCACUUCGCC
Molecule: non-coding RNA, 461 nt
Organism: Paramuricea clavata
Lineage: Eukaryota; Metazoa; Cnidaria; Anthozoa; Malacalcyonacea; Plexauridae
Source: the annotation of a GenBank genome assembly